Molecule: ribosomal RNA, 399 nt
Filed under: Salmonella sp. FES34
Lineage: Bacteria; Pseudomonadati; Pseudomonadota; Gammaproteobacteria; Enterobacterales; Enterobacteriaceae
Description: bacterial SSU rRNA
Rfam family: Bacterial small subunit ribosomal RNA
Source: RNAcentral
AACGCGAAGAACCUUACCUGGUCUUGACAUCCACAGAAGUUUGCAGAGAUGCGAAUGUGCCUUCGGGAACUGUGAGACAGGUGCUGCAUGGCUGUCGUCAGCUCGUGUUGUGAAAUGUUGGGUUAAGUCCCGCAACGAGCGCAACCCUUAUCCUUUGUUGCCAGCGGUCCGGCCGGGAACUCAAAGGAGACUGCCAGUGAUAAACUGGAGGAAGGUGGGGAUGACGUCAAGUCAUCAUGGCCCUUACGACCAGGGCUACACACGUGCUACAAUGGCGCAUACUAAGAGAAGCGACCUCGCGAGAGCAAGCGGACCUCAUAAAGCCCUCCUAUCCGGAUUGGAGUCUGCAACUCGACUCCAUGAAGUCGGAAUCGCUAGUAAUCGUGGAUCAGAAUGCCA